GUGCCGGCGAGCAGCUUGAGUCAGGGUCUCCGGGGAGACGUCCUCAGGUCCCUGUGGAGCGGCCCCGAAGCCUCGGGAGCCAGCUUCACUAGACAAGAGGCAGAGGUAGAGAAUGCGGCUGUGGUGGGUAAGUGAGUCACUGCGUGAGGCAGUCUUUUCAAAGCAGGAAUGCGAUGUUAAUUCUGGGGCAUUGAUGUUUUACAAUGCCUGAUCAAGAUAAAAAGGUGAAGACCACAGAAAAAUCAACUGAUAAACAGCAAGAAAUCACCAUCAGGGACUAUUCAGAUCUUAAAAGACUUCGGUGCCUUUUGAACGUCCAAUCAAGCAAACAACAGCUUCCAGCCAUUAACUUCGAUAGUGCCCAAAAUAGCAUGACGAAGUCUGAGCCCGCCAUCAGGGCGGGUGGACACAGAGCUCGGGGUCAGUGGCAUGAAUCCACAGAAGCUGUUGAACUUGAAAAUUUUAGUAUAAACUACAAGAAUGAGAGAAAUUUCAGCAAACAUCCUCAGCGUAAACUAUUUCAGGAGAUCUUUACCGCCUUGGUGAAAAAUAGACUCAUAAGCAGAGAGUGGGUUAAUCGAGCCCCAUCUAUUCAUUUUCUGAGAGUGUUAAUCUGUCUGAGGCUACUAAUGAGGGAUCCAUGUUAUCAGGAAAUACUCCAUAGCUUGGGUGGGAUUGAAAACCUAGCUCAGUAUAUGGAGAUUGUAGCCAAUGAGUACCUCGGCUAUGGAGAAGAGCAGCACACUGUGGACAAGCUGGUCAACAUGACAUGUAAGUGUUAUUGCAGGGACACAGCCAUUUUUGUGGACUUGCUAGAAAAAGCAGUAUGGUGUUUGCAGCAGGAAACAAGGAUACUUUAAAUAUUUAUUAAUGUUCGCACACACAGCUCAGGUGUUGAGCAUCCAGGCCAAUUGUUAUAUUCAGUGGCAACAUACAGCCAGAAGAAAGAUGUUUAGAUUACAACCUUUACCUUGAAAAGCACAAUUUAUUUAAUGCAAGAGAGGCUUCCAUAAAAGCAAAUUUUGGUAAAAUCUAUUUUUGCGUCUUUUUAUUUCUGUUAAAAUGUCAGAGACUAUCCAGUUUUUUUUCUAUAAAGUUGGGUUAAUCAUGAUUGCCUACCUCAUAGAAUCUGAAACAUCCAGAGCAUGAAAAAGAAAAAUAACAACAAACCUUAUCUGAUGCUGCGAAUGUGAAAACAUUGGACUGUGAGUGUGAGGUAUUCCUUAGUCACUCAAUCUUCUCCCGUUGGAGGCUCUUCCCAGCCCUGCUGUCCUGCACUCCAGCUUUGAUGAGUCACAGACGUCCUGCCGUGUGGGAUGCCUGUCCGUUUUCUUUGUGUGACUGGACUGGCUCUUCAUAUCUGCUUGUGGAGCAGCACAGUGAUUCUCAGAUCCAGGGAGAGAAGAGUUUAUGGCAAGCCCUGGGCACUAGGAAGUCUCUUUGAGGAUGACUAUUUUCCUCAGCUGAGGAAACGUGCAGGUUCCUCUCAUUUGCUGGCCUUCCCUCUCUUCUUUAUAAGUUGAAAUCUUCACAGAGAGGAUCUUUGAAGAAUAGGCCUCACUUUGAACUGGUAAUGAUGUUAAGGAACUUCAAGUGGAAAGAGAGGUUUGCCUUUUUUGGUAUUUUUAUAUUUCAUUAUUACAAUAAUAUUAGAAAAUAAAUACCAGUGGAGCUUGAGGAGUAAUUCUUGGGGUAAAAAAGUAGCCAUGCUGCUCCUGCAUCUGUUGUUCCUUUUGUGCUGUGUUCCCUUUGACCUUUCUCUGCCUGCCCAUAUGCACUGCAGAUCUGUGCUCCUGGAAGUACUCCCCCUUUAAUCUCUGGAUGCCUCUUUGCGCUCUUUCUUUCCUUUAUAGAUAUUUUUCAAAAACUUGCUGCAGUCAAAGAUCAAAGAGAAUGGGUCACCACAAGUGGAGCCCACAAGGUGAGUGGCCCCUGAAAGAGUUAAUGCUUCAGCUCCCUAUGGCAAUAGUUCACAUUAGGGAAGUUCAGAGCCUUUGCGGUUAAGUCAUGUGUAAUUAGAAUCCACAAACCUACCAGCCUGGCCUGAGAUUGUGGAUCUUUGUCAACCCUUUUAUAUUCUUUACCAGCAUUACAAGUUAAUAGAGAUAUAAUAAAUACAAGUUUUCUGGAACUCUUUUCUUUUUUUUCCUAUGCCAUUUAAUACCAACUAGGUUUAUUACUUAAAUAUUAUUUGAAAAGCCCCAGCUAUGUAUAAAUACACCCUAGGUGUGCAUUUAUAAAUAAGUCAACAGAAAUAAACAAAAUGUACAUAUGUAUACAUAUAAAUUCCAUAUGGCAUGUGGGGCUAUAUUAGUUUGAACCAUAUAUGAUUGCCAUUGUAGGUCAAAACAGACUAUAUUUAUAGCAAAACUGUUUAGACUGUAGCCAUGUGGAGCCAAGUUUCAGAAACCUGUUGAGUUUCAUAUCCCGGGAAGCCACUUUCUAGUGUAUAUGGGAGCAAGAUUGCCUAAAAUGUGUUAACACAUGCUGCUCAUGGUCUAGAGGAUGAUUCUAGGUGAUACACAGGUCAACAUUUUUUGUUUCAGUAGCCAGCUAUUUCACAGGUAUUAUUGCUUACAAUUGGAAAAAAUUUUUUUGAGUUAACAUUAAAGAUGUUAGUUGAAUAUGGCAAAAAAUGUGAAAAUGAUAUGUAAUGGAUUGAAGUUUGGGAAACAUUAGAAGACAGAGAAGAAAGAGAGAAGAAAAAGAGGAAAGGAUCAGACAAAUAAAGAUAAUGAUAACUUCAUUAAGAUAAAAUGAAAUCAUAAAGGCAAAAAAUCCAUAUACUGGAAACAUAAAAAUUACCUUAGCCGUUGUUGCGCAGGUUGCAGCUCUGACCUGAGACAUUUUGGGAGGCACUUUUCAGGGGCACUCCGCAUUCUGAAAAUGUAGAGAAUUUUCCAAAUAAGAAAAUUUGCCUUAACGAGAAUUCAGGGAAAGCCACUGACAAGCUACAGACUUCCAGCUAAGUCAUGUUAGUUAGGAUGAUGCUUGGGAGCAUCAGUGAUGCACUUUCAACAUCAAUUAGAAAUCUGGGAGGCAAAUGGAAUGCUCGAUAGUAUUCAUAUCUUGUUUAGUUUGGCAAAAGAAUGAAAGUUUCAAUAUUUUGUUGAAAAAUCGUUUCAUAAUUUGGAAAGUGCCUAGCACAAUGCCUGGCUCAAAGUGAGUUCUCAAUGGCUGAUCACUACCACUAUUGUAAUUUAUGUCAUUAAUCUUCCUGGUUCUUCCCAGCGUGGGAUCAGAAGGGGGAGAGAAUACUUGGGCACAUGGAAAUAGAAGGAUGUAUGAGAACCAGGCUGGUCAUGUAGCUUGAUGCCUUUUCUUCCUGUCCUGGGCAAGGAAUGGCUACAAGAGGUUACUAUCAAGAGUUCCAAAGUAAGGAGAGAUGGACUCCUGCCAUCUGUAAAGAACUGGAUAUUUUGAAUGUUUAAUAAAACUCUUUUUAAGAUAAACUUUUAUAUUGACUGCAAAAAAUAAAAAGGAAGCUGCAUAAGGCUUGAUAGGGCAUAAUUUUUUUCACUAUUCUAUGGGUAAAGCCAUAAUAAAAUAAACAACUUGAUUAUAUUGACAAAAAGUGUUUAUAAAGAUAUAUUUAAUGCCAUGAAAAAAUUUCAGUAGAUAACAUUAAGAAAAAAACAUAAGAGAGAGCAGCUUUAACAUUAUAUAUAGUUUGUGCUUAAUUGUAUAUGCACAUACAUUAUAAACUACUAAGC
This 3713-nucleotide long non-coding RNA is filed under the name Homo sapiens (human). Its description in RNAcentral is "non-protein coding lnc-SLC4A7-1:1". The record is from RNAcentral. Lineage: Eukaryota; Metazoa; Chordata; Mammalia; Primates; Hominidae.